AUGUCGGCGGGCGACGGCGCGGCGGUGUCGGCCGUCGAGGGGAAGCUCGCGGAGCUCUCCACCAGCUGCGACCUCAGGACGCUCCCCAAGAGGGGCAAGUCUGCAUCAGCAAGGACAUUGAACACUGCCCAGAUUCAGCUUGUCGCAAGCCAUCCGGAAGUUUAUGAACCAUGUGAUGAUUCAUUUGCCCUUGUUGAUGCGCUGCUCUCUGACAAGGCUCAACUUCUGACGCUACAGCCGAGUUUAUGCAUGGAGGUGGGAUGUGGCAGUGGUUAUGUCAUCACUUCUCUAGCCAUCAUGCUCAGGCAAUUAGGCUCUGGAACCCAGUACCUAGCAACAGACAUCAACCAACAUGCCGUGGAGACAACUCAAGCAACACUUGAAGCCCAUGGUGUUCAUGCAGAUGUUAUUGCUACAGAUAUUGUGUCAGGUCUUGAGAAACGUCUGGCUGGUAUGGUUGAUGUGGUGGUUGUGAACCCUCCUUAUGUGCCUACACCCGAGGAAGAAAUCGGGAUGAAGGGCAUUGCUUCAUCUUGGGCUGGAGGGUUGAAUGGGCGCCAAGUGAUCGACCGGAUUCUUCCUGCUGUGCGCGAGCUGCUGUCAGAAAAAGGAUGUCUCUACAUGAUUGCCCUUGAAGAUAAUGAUCCUUUGGGCAUAUGCCAUUUGAUGAACGAGAAGGGGUUCGCAUCGCGUGUUCUGCUGAAGAGGUGCACUGACGAGGAGAGCCUUUAUGUUCUCAAGUUCUGGCAAGAUGCUGCUGCUGGCGCAAAUGCUUCUCAGUCUGGUAGAUCUCCACGCGCCGAGUCGUGGCUUUCACAGUUGCCUUUCAAAUCCUUUUGGCAUAAGAACACUGGCAGUUCUUGA
RNAcentral lists this ribosomal RNA (864 nucleotides) under Triticum aestivum (bread wheat). RNAcentral's name for it is "partial small subunit ribosomal RNA". The record is from RNAcentral. Lineage: Eukaryota; Viridiplantae; Streptophyta; Magnoliopsida; Poales; Poaceae.